Molecule: non-coding RNA, 1886 nt
Organism: Notechis scutatus (mainland tiger snake)
Lineage: Eukaryota; Metazoa; Chordata; Lepidosauria; Squamata; Elapidae
Source: RefSeq, a predicted model, not a curated record
GAUCUGGUCCAGGGAAUCGGUGUCUUCCUUCCCCCAUGAAGCAAACUUCUCCAACCUUGAACCCUCUAGAUGCCAUGAAUUCCUAUAGUUCUCGCCAGCGCGGCAAGGACGUGUUGGAUGCGGUGCUGGCAGUUUUAAUUCAGUGCAUCUGGACAGCGCCAGCAUGCAGGUAUCAGAACGUGAUGGUGGAGUGUCCACAGGGAAUGGAUUAGACGCUGCCACAGCAUCUGAUGCCCAGCAAGUUUCGCCCUCUCACCCUAAGCCUCCUUCCUUGGACCUCUUUAAUCUGGUGGUAUCCUAUAAGCAACUAGAGCUGUACCUGGAACCACUGCAGGAUGUUGCUGAAGGAGUGUGGUUCCUCCUCAGCUGGCAGAUGCCCUUCUGCUCUCUCCUUACUUGUUUGGGUGUCAACUUUCUGCUGCUUACUCUGAGUGAAGCUGCUUGGUAUGGGCUGUGUGCCCUGCUCAUCUCAGUGCCUGCCAUGCUCGGCUAUCUACAGGAAACAUGCCACAUCCGUCUUACUGAAGAGCAGCUGGCACGCCGUAGGUAUCACAGUGUGCGGAGAGAAGAUGUGAGAAAAGUUCAACUUUCUCGAAAUGAGGCUGUGGCUGAAGUUAAGGGCUUCCUGAUCCGAUUAGAAGCGCUCCUGAACAGGCUGUGUGGUGGCUGUGAGGCAGCUUACCGUGUCUUGUUCUGGGAGAACCCUACUGUCUCCUCCCAGUUUUAUGGGAUGCUGAUGGGUUCAGUUUGUGCCGUUUACCUGCUGCCCCUCUGCUGGAUCUUUGUUCUUCUUAAUAGUACCCUUUUCUUGGGCAAUGUGGCAUUUUAUCAAGUGACGCUAGACCUAAAGUCAGCUGUAGAGCAGCGCUUAGGUUUCAAAUCCACCCCUGCGGCUCCAGAGCCUGAAGAGCUGGAUCCUGGAGAAGUGGAAGCUACUGUCUUGCCAGAUUGGACACCUACCCUGACUGGGACUGAGGACCUAACUCCUGGCAGUGUGGAGGAAGCAGAGGAAGCAGAACCUGAUGAUGAAUUCAAGGAUGCAAUUGAGGAGGAAGACGACAUCUCUCAGGGUUCAGGAGAGUUUGAGCUUGGCCUUCCUGACAGUCCCUUUAUGAGCAGGAAUGAUGUGAUUCGUAGCAGGGUGUCACGGUUGACAGAACGACUGCGCAAACGUUAUCCAACCAACAACCUUGGAAACUGUGCGAGUUGUUCCGCCACUUUCUCUGUCUUGAAGAAGAGGGUGAGUCUUUUCUCCAGCCCACCAACUCCCUGCCUGGCCUGUUCCAUUUUCUUCUUUCCCUGCUUCAUCAUCUUGGUGGAUCUCAGACUGAACUCUGCAGCCUGCUCACUCACUCCUCUCCUUGCAUCUUUUCCCUCUCUAGCGAAGCUGCAGUAACUGUGGGAACAGUUUUUGCUCCAGGUGCUGUUCUUUCAAAAUUCCCAAGAGCUACAUGGGGGCUACAGCCCCAGAGGCCCAGCGGGAGACUGUCUUUGUAUGUGGGCAGUGUAACCAAGCACUCACCAAGUGAGGAGCCCAUAUGGAGUCCAAUCUUCAGAGGAAUCUGCUGGGGAUCUCACACUACACUAGCUGCUACUUGAAGGGAGACAAGCAAUGGCACGGCGUCUUUUCUUCCUCCCUAUACUUGUAAAAAAAAAAAAAGGAGGGCAAGCACAUCUAACCUGCUGACUGCUCUGUGUGCUCCUGCUCCCUUCCUUGAAAGCAACUGAGGAGAUCUCUGCAAUCCUGGUUGUGUGGAGGAUUCUUCAUGCACUAAACCAGGGGUCUCCAACCUUGGCAACUUUAAGACUUGUGGACUUUAACUCCCAGAAUACCUCAGCCAGCUUUGCUCGUUCAGGAAUUCUGGGAGUUGAAAUCCACAAGUUUU